Molecule: ribosomal RNA, 586 nt
Filed under: Hymenopenaeus debilis
Lineage: Eukaryota; Metazoa; Arthropoda; Malacostraca; Decapoda; Solenoceridae
Description: partial 16S ribosomal RNA
Rfam family: Bacterial large subunit ribosomal RNA
Source: RNAcentral
UUUCGCCUUUUUAUCAAAACAUGUCUGUAUGGUUGUUAUAUAGAGUCUAGCCUGCCCACUGAUAUUAUUAAAGGGCCGCGGUAUUUUGACCGUGCGAAGGUAGCAUAAUCAUUAGUCUUUUAAUUGGAGGCUUGUAUGAAUGGUUGGACAAAAAGUUAACUGUCUCAUUUAUAUAAAUUGAAUUUAACUUUUAAGUGAAAAGGCUUAAAUGAACUGAAGGGACGAUAAGACCCUAUAAAGCUUUACAAUAAAUAAAUUAAAUUAUAAAUUAUUAGUUUAACUUAAUUUAAUUUGUGUUUGUUUCGUUGGGGCGACGAGAAUAUAAUAAUAACUGUUCUUUUAUAAAAUUAACAAAAUUAAUUGGAUAAUAAUUGAUCCUUUAAUAAAGAUUAAAAGAUUAAGUUACUUUAGGGAUAACAGCGUAAUCUUCUUUGAGAGUUCAGAUCGACAAGAAGGGUUGCGACCUCGAUGUUGAAUUAAGGGAUCCUUACAAUGCAGCAGUUGUAAAGGAAGGUCUGUUCGACCUUUAAAUCCUUACAUGAUUUGAGUUCAGACCGGCGUAAGCCAGGUUGGGUUUCUAUCUAAA